CUAAUGAAUAUUGACUGCUAAUUAGUAUGUUUUAGCGCCCAAUCAAGAGAAAAGCCGCCAAUAUAGUUAUGUUUUCUUUUCAUAUUCCCUCUAAUUUCUAAAUCCUUUCGCGCCUAAAUUUUUAUAUCGUAUUUACCCUAAAGACUGCAAAAAAGAGAAAAAGUUUCGUUCAAAGAAAUUGCUGGCCACCAAAAUUCGUUCAAAGAACAAUUUCGUUCAAAGCGCCUUCUCCAUUCUUCAAUCCUCAGCAACCAAAAUUGCUGGCCACCCUCUGAAUCACCGUAUGUCCUUGAAGGAAUGAUUAACAAUUAGUUUGACUUUCCUUGGACCUGGGAUAAUUGAUGAAAUUAUCUAAUGCAAUCUGGGAAAAUUUAGUUCAGUUUCAGCUUCUCAAUUUCCUUAUUUUGGAUAAGGAACUAUGCGAACUAGAGGUGGAAACAUAAUUAUUGUUGAACAACAUGAUGAUGCAGAUGCGCGACCUUAUAUUGAUGAAAAGAAGAAACUGGUGGAGUUUGUGAAGAAGCGCACACAAGCAAAUAGAAAUAAUAGAGCAAAUCAAAAGAUGCCUCACACAGGAGGGUCCUAAAGUAUUGCCGCCUUGAUGGAUGAGAAGGUCGUUUGUUUUCGCAUGUGGAAGAUUUCAAUAUGAUGAAGAGUUACCGAAACUAUUUGAAUAUAUUGUUUGAUAGGAUUAGUUAUAUCAGUUCAAUCAAUAUAAGUUUAAUUUAAAAGUUGUGACCUUAAUAUUUUGGAUUGGUACUUCCUUUGGAUUGUUUAGAUUCAAUGAGAUAUAUUUUGUUUUAUGAA
Nicotiana tabacum (common tobacco) is the source of this 807-nucleotide long non-coding RNA. RefSeq lists it as uncharacterized. The record is from RefSeq and is a predicted model, not a curated record. NCBI's taxonomy places the organism in Eukaryota, Viridiplantae, Streptophyta, Magnoliopsida, Solanales, Solanaceae.